Molecule: ribosomal RNA, 297 nt
Filed under: uncultured bacterium
Lineage: Bacteria
Description: partial 16S ribosomal RNA
Rfam family: Bacterial small subunit ribosomal RNA
Source: RNAcentral
AUUGAACGCUGGCGGCAUGCCUUACACAUGCAAGUCGAACGGUAACGCGGGGGCAACCCUGGCGACGAGUGGCGAACGGGUGAGUAAUACAUCGGAACGUACCCAGUAGUGGGGGAUAGCUCGGCGAAAGCCGGAUUAAUACCGCAUACGACCCAUGGGUGAAAGCGGGGGAUCGCAAGACCUCGCGCUAUUGGAGCGGCCGAUGUCGGAUUAGCUAGUUGGUGAGGUAAAGGCNCACCAAGGCUACGAUCCGUAGCUGGUCUGAGAGGACGACCAGCCACACUGGGACUGAGACAC